Non-coding RNA from Trichomonas vaginalis G3, 254 nucleotides. Lineage: Eukaryota; Parabasalia; Trichomonadida; Trichomonadidae. The record is from Rfam.
GUAGUCUGCCGUACGCAGGAAGACCCGCUGAACUGAAGCAUCUCAUUAAGCGGAGGAAAAGAAACUAACUAGGAUUCCCUUAGUAAAGGCGAUCGAAAAGGGAACAGCCCAACGUCUUAAUCCCGCAAGGGAAAUGUAGUCGGUUCACCUAUUGCACUGGUCUAAGUCAGAUGGAAUGCUGCGCGAUUCAGAGUAAAAGCCUCGUAUGACCAACCGCAAGCUUACGAUGGACCGGGGAGAGUCGGAUACUUUGA